Long non-coding RNA from Chinchilla lanigera (long-tailed chinchilla), 4288 nucleotides. RefSeq lists it as uncharacterized. The transcript has 4 exons. The record is from RefSeq and is a predicted model, not a curated record. NCBI's taxonomy places the organism in Eukaryota, Metazoa, Chordata, Mammalia, Rodentia, Chinchillidae.
CUGCCAGGAGACAAAAAAGAUUUUACCAAUACAAGAGGGACGAGCAAGACAGCCACCGCGCGGGCCUGGAAGGCGGGCAGCUCGGCGCGCCCCUUCCCUGCAGACUCGGCGCUGUCCCGGGGCUGCCCUGCGCGGCUCGCGCUGCCCUUCCCGGUUUCAUGGCUGCGGACCGAGCGGCUGCCUUCAGUACGGUAACUGCACGCGAGCGCGGGCGGAGGAAGAUACCGACUCGGCCCGCACCGCAGGCGGCCGCUCGGGGGCUGAGGGGAGCAGGCGGGUCCCGGCCGCGGCGCCCGUCCAGCCACAGCCUGCCACAGGGGGCGCGCAAGGCCCCCAACCUGGGAGCCCCGCGCCCCAAGUUAGCGGGCUGGGCUUGGAGAGGACCCGAGGUGGAGGGAUAGGCAUGGAAGGCACGGUGCGGACGGCUCGAAAAUCAAACCAUUAGCUCCCAGGAAAGGACAGCGAAGUGUCGUCCAGGACCCCCAAGGUGCCCCUGAGGUGCUAGUCCCCGAAACGGGCUCGAGCUUGGCCUACAGCCCACACCCCAAGGACACACUGGGGACUGAAAGAGGGCGCACUGAACUACAUUCCCUAUUUAUUUUUGGGUGCUGGGAAUCGAACUCAGGACCUCACGCUGGCCAGGCAGGCGCUGCGCCACUAAGCUAAACCCCCGACCGUCCCUGCCCUUCUAAAACAUUUCCCUUCUUAAACUUUCGAGACAGGGUCACACUGCGUUGCCCAGGCUGGCCCUGAACUUUCCGCCAGCCUCCCCGGCGCUGGAAUUGCAGGCAUGUGUGUGGCACCGCGCCUGGCCCACACGCGUUUUCUUCUAGGUGACUCCUCGUGCCUGGCGGCCCUGUGCAGGGGUGCUGGCCCGGGCUCCAGGCCCCAGAUGAGGCGAGCAAGGCACUGCUGGCCGGGGGCGAGGGGCUGAGCGGCCGGGCGGCCUCGCUCCGCAGCUCCUGCUCUAGCCCUGCUCCCGCCUCUCCGGGCUGUGGGAACAGCGGAGGAAAGGCUCCGCCUUGGCUCAGAGAGGACAGGAGCCAAGGCAGCCGUUCUCGAACUUUCUUCCUCAUUCUUUCUGCCCAGGAGAGGCAGGGAGGGGCGGAGCGCCCAGCAGGGACCCCGCAGCUCUGGCUCCGCCAGCUCUCAGGGCUGCAGGGCUGCCAGGUAUCCAGGAGUCCUCUGGCUGUGACCCCAGCAUCUCAACUACCCAGCGCGUCCUCCUGCGGUGGACACUCUACCCUCAGAGACAGCAUCAGCUGCUCACGGGGACGCCCCCCUGUUCACGUACGCGAACGGCCGCAUAUCCGCCUUUCACUUGGCCAGGCUUUGUUUUUAUAAAACACAGCAGACAAGGAAACCACUUACCUGAAGCAGAAUACUACUCUGCCUCUGCAGAAGGAAAUGAACCCACAGAAAGGGUUGGUCUCACGAAGUCACGAGGGUGCUCAGGCUGGGCUUACAUUCGGAAUGCUGCAGCCCUGACUGUGGACAGGAGGCAGCGCAAGCUACUGUGACCUGGAUCUCUACUCCAGUUUGAGAAAGCCAGGGGGCCCUGGACCUCGGCGGGAAUGAAUCCCCCUCCUGAAGUCAGGAAUGUUCCUCACUUUGGCCCAGAGCCAAGCAAGUCAUGAAGACAAACAUGCUGCCCAGGAGAAAAAUGUCUUCAAACACCUGAGACAAGGGCAGCAAGGACAGCUGGGGUGGGGCUGGACUCCGGCUGGAAGGCGCAGAGGGCCGUCCUCCUCUACUCUCCGCCUGCCCCACGCCCAGCCUCUGUUCACUUUUCCAGAUACCCCAGGGAGGGGGCAGAACACACACUGGAGCUGAGGGGCGGCCAGGGAGGGCGACUCCCCUCGCUCACAAGGCUGCCCCGGCUACCGGCCGGAACUGGGCCUCGAGGACCCCCUUCUGGAUUCUGGGCCUCUCAGCAGGAUGAAGUUUCCAAGGGUAUCAAGACUGAUACCCUUCUUCAGCAUCUCGUGCCGUGACAGUUUCCCACAGGACCCCGCUCUAACUGCACGACGGACUGGCCGCCUCGUCACCGUCCACCAGCAGAAGCAGGCCUGUUCCAGACUCUGGCUCUCUUGAAAGUCAGUUUCCGCACUGCAGCGCGGGGUACUGCCCACCACGGGAAGACCUCAUGUUUAUCUUGAGAAUGUGACCAGGGGUGUCCACCUGUACCCAGCCGGCUCCCCAAAGCUCAUGAGCUCAUGGGGGAGGGCAGGCGAGGUGACUGAGGGGCGUGGCAGUGACAAGUGUGUGCUGUGACUCAGGGGAAGCUGCCGGGUUGGAGGGGCGGCCCGGGGCAGGUCCCUCCCUCUCUCUCCCUUGGUCCCUCUCUGCUUCCUGCCUCUGUGCCCUAACUACUUCCCUUCUGCCACCCACCCUGCCUUGCGACCAGCGGUGGACUGGACUGAAGCCUCUGCCAACUGCGAGCCAGAAUAAACCUCUCUCCUUUAACUUGUGGGUGCCCGGCCGUGUCUCAGCUGUGAGAAGUAGCUAAGCAAGGGGGAACCAAACCCUAUGACCUGGGUGAUUCCCUCCCAGGAAUCACCAACUUUUGUACUUUUUUUUUUUUUUGCCGUACUGGGGAUCGAACUCACGACCUUGGGCUUGACAGGCAGGCGCUUAUGCCACUGAGCUAUCUCACCAGCCCAAACUUCUGUACUCUCAAAGCACACCUUUUAACACUUGACUAGUGCAAAGCGGCAGAUGUGGCCUGCUGGCCACAGGAGUGUGGCACAACAUGUAGCAGACACAUGGCUGUUCCCUCAACCUACUCACCAACGGCCCCUGCUGUUUGCUGGUAGAGGUCAGAACUGUGGUACCCGUUGUGACCUGCUGGGCCCACUUGUGUCCAAUCAUUCCAGCGGCUCGCCUGUCACUGACCAGCUUCCGGGGAGUGGAGGAGGGUAGGGAGGGUGAAACUGAAAUUCAGGGAAUUUUAAUGAACGUCACACAGUAUCAAGUCUGAAUGGGAGCCUGAAACAAUUUCAGCCUACGGACGUUUUCCUGCUGAGGGCGCUCACAGUCGUGUGCGCGUCCAGGGGAGGCGGCAAGCGGGCGCGCGCACGGAGCUCCACUCAGAGGGGCGGGGUCUGCCAGGGCCGCGUAACAGCAAACAUUUCCACAGAGAAACUCCAUGACCUUUCUCCGGUCCCCAAAGGUUACUAUUAAAGGACAUUAGACAGCAGAUCCCCUCCUUAAUUAACAUUUUUAUUAAAUAACCCAUUUCAAAUAAUGGUUAAAUUCUCUAAAUUUAUAUCAUUCUAUUAACCAUAAUCUAAUCUCAUUAACCUUGAAAUCCCAGUCUUAACUACCCACUUCUAUACACCGCGGUACUACCUACUAGGCUAAUUAAGUGACCUUCACGGUCCUCCUCCUCCUUGGAAAGUCAUCCCCGUUUCCCCUCGUAGUUCUCCGCAGGGUCCCUCACACGCUCUCCCUCCUGCAGCGCAGCCGGGCCUCAGCCUGAGCGCGCCCAGGCUCCAGGUCUCCUGGCGUCCCUCCCGGGAAGCUGGAUGCUGACGGCCUCUGACCGGAGAAGAACCUUCUGACCACAGCCAAACUCUGCUCACGACCUCCCCUCCACCUGCACCCCCCGCCCGCCCGCCUGGCAGCUCGCAGCCUCUCCUGGCCUCACGACCUCCCAGAGGGGUCGGGGCCGUAGCUCGGUGACCGAGGGAUUGUGUAGGACGCGUGAGGCCCUGGGUUUUAUCCCAGCACCCAAACAGAGGAGAAAGAAAACGAAGGCCCGUCUGUGGGCCACACGGCCAGGAGCACCCUCGCCACGCCAGGCCCCUCCGAGGCAGCGCGAUCUCACGGCCGCUGCCCCGCCCCACGCCCUGCAGCUCCACUGUGCUCCCCCUGCCGCAAGGGCGUCGCUGUGGAUUCAGCCGGGAGGGGGGCCAGAGUCGCAGCCCGCUGCCGGCAGUCUGCCCACAAGAGGGAUUCCCGGUCUUCAGCCCUCCUCAACAGCCCGGCUCACUGCGCGAGGUGGCCCUCCCUCUGGGGGUUUGUAGAGACACAAGGGAGCUGCCUCCGGGCCAGCGGGGAGCCCCUGCCCAGCACACGCCAGGCCUGGGGCUGGAUCCCCGCACCACCAAGGAGGAAGAUACGCUGCGGCUGUCUUCUCCUGUGCUGUGUUUUUUAUCUCAAUGACCUUAGGCUUCUGGAAACAAUCCUAUGUGUGCACAACUGGAGGAAAACUGAUCUUUUAAAAAGUAGGUUGUGAGCCGGGUGUGAUGGCGUAUGACUGUAAUCCCUGCACUUGGGAGGCUGA